This 7442-nucleotide long non-coding RNA is filed under the name Gossypium barbadense (sea-island cotton). RNAcentral describes it as "long non-coding RNA (GBAR_LNC011571)". The record is from RNAcentral. Lineage: Eukaryota; Viridiplantae; Streptophyta; Magnoliopsida; Malvales; Malvaceae.
GAUCAAAGUUGGAUAAGGGAAAGGAAAAAAGUGAUCGAAGAGCCGUCGUAAUCGUUCGGCAACUUCCGAGGUAAGUUUUAAGUGUUUAAACGUUGAGUAAAUUCAAUUAUAAUAAGACGUGAUGAGCUGAUUUAAUAAGAUAUGAUGUGGCCAUGAUAUGUUCUAAGCUCAAAUGGUAAGUUCUUAAGUGUUUGAGCUUGGGAAUUUAAAGGUAAUUUGAAAUAGUCUGCUUCGGACAGUAGCAGUAACGUGAAUUUAGAAAAUCACCAUAAAUUUAUGGACUUGAAUUAGAGGCUGAAUGAGACAUGAAAUUAAAUCUUAAUGAGUCUAGUUUUUUAUAAAAGAAACCGUGUAAGCAAAGGAAUUUCCGAUAAUGAGAUAUUUAAAGUUGUGUGAGACGGUGUCAGAAUGACUCUGAAAUCCCCUGUUCUGUUUUUAGAAAAUCAUUAUAAAUUGUACAAAAAUGGUUAUAAGAUAAAAUUUAUAUGCUUAAACUCCUUAAUGAGUCUAGUUUCAAAUAAAAUCAAAUACAACACAUUUUGAAUUCUGUAAAAUGAGAAAUUUGAUUCGUAGUGAAGAGUGGUCAGAUUAGUCAAACAGUGGAACAGGGGAAACUUUAAGAAAAAUCUGGUAUUGAUUGGCCAAACCUAAAAUUCUGGAAAUUUUAUGGAUGGAAUAUAUACGAGUCUAUAUUCAAGAAAAAUUAACGGAAAGUGAUUUGGAGUUUUGUAGCUCCAGUUAUAAAUGAUUUAGUAACUAUUGCUCAGGAAAAACAGCUUGUGCUGAAUUUGAGAUUGUGUUGUAAACUUUGAUAAGCUUGUUCUAGUUGCUCAUAAGCUAUCGAUUAAACCCAUAUAUGAAUUCUAAAUUGUGAUAUUGGAAAAUGAUAGAUGUAGAUUCAGCCAAGAGAGUAUGUGUGAUAAGGCCUAAUAGCCGAUGUGAUGAAUGUGAAAGUGUAUGUAUAUGUGAUAAGGCCUAAUGGCCGAUGUGAUGAAUGUGAAAGUGUAUGUAUAUAUGUGAUAAGGCCUAAUGGCCGAUGUGAUGAAUGUGAAAGUAUAUGUAUAUAUGUAAUAAGGCCUAAUAGCCGAUGUGAUGAAUGUGAAAGUGUAUAUGUGUGAUAAGGCCUAAUAGCCGACGUGAUGAAUGUGAAAGUUUAUGUGUGAUAAGGCCUAAUAGCCGAGGUGAUGAAUGUGAAAGUGUAUGUAUAUAUGUAAUAAGGCCUAAUAGCCGAUGUGAUGAAUGUGAAAGUGUAUGUAUAUAUGUAAUAAGGCCUAAUAGCCGAUGUGAUGAAUGUGAAAGUGUAUAUGUGUGAUAAGGCCUAAUAGCCGACGUGAUGAAUGUGAAAGUGUAUAUAUGUAAUAAGGCCUAAUUGCCGAUGUGAUGAAUGUGAAAGUGUAUAUAUAAGAUAAGGCUUAAUGGCCGAUGCGAUGAAUGUGAAAGUGUAUUUGUGUGAUAAGGCCUAAUAGCCGACGUGAUGAAUGUGAAAGUGUAUAUGUGUGAUAAGGCCUAAUAGCCGACGUGAUGAAUGUGAAAGUGUAUAUAUGUAAUAAGGCCUAAUGGCCGAGGUGAUGAAUGUGAAAGUAUAUAUAUGUGAUAAGGCCUAAUGGCCGAUGUGAUGAAUGUGAAAGUAUAUGUAUAUAUGUAAUAAGGCCUAAUAGCCGAUGUGAUGAAUGUGAAAGUGUAUAUAUGUGAUAAGGCCUAAUGGCCGAUGCGAUGAAUGUGAAAGUGUAUAUAUGUGAUAAGGCCUAAUGGCCGAUGUAAUAAAUGUGAAAGUGUAUAUAUGUGACAGGGCCGAGUGGCCAACGUAAUGGAUGUGAAAGUGCAUAAAUGUGAUAAGUCCCGAAAGGCAUUUGUGUCAGUACUAUAUCCGGGUUAAAACCCCGCAGGCUUUAUGCGAGAAUAUUAUCACUGAUUAAUGUUCUUAAGCUUCGUGCUUGUACUAUAUCCGAGCUCUAAAGACCCGAUGACUACGUGUGGGGAUUUUGUCCGGAUAAGACCCGAUAACUUCGUGUGGAGAUUAUGUCCGGGUAAGACUUCGUAAUAAGAAUUGCUUAUAAAUAUAUUCAAUGCGAAAGGUUAAACAGGUAUGUACUUCAAGUUUAUAUGUGAGCUUGAUUUGCACUAAAUCAUAAGGUAGUUAUGUGAUGCAUACGAAAGCAAUCUAUGAGACUAUUCCUAUGAUUAUGUGACAUCGGAUCAGUGUGAGAGGUGAUGUGAAAUCAUACGAUAUAUCUAUGUCACAUGAGUUCACUUUUAUGUGAAAGUUUAUCUGCCUAUUGUAUAUGAUGAGAUGUGCAGAUUCGGUAAAGGGAUGGUAUGCCCGAAGGAAGAGUGAAAUAAAAAUACGAACAACUAUGUUAUAAUUUGAUUGUUAUCUGUUGACACUGCUUAAAACUUACUAAGCAUUGUAAUGCUUACUCCGUUUACUCUGUUUCCUCUAUUUUAUAGAUCUCAUUGCGAAGCUACAGGCUCGGGGAUCGUCAGCAACUAGUCACACUAUCACUAUCCACUGUUUGGUACUGCUAUGUUUCGGAUUGUCUUAUGGCAUGUAUAAAAUAGACUAGUGGCGGAAGAAUAUUUUGGUUAAUGUAUAUAGCCAUGCGAAAAUGGCUUAUAUAUGUUUGAGCAUAAUGUUAUAAUCAUUUGGUAUGGAAUGGUUAAUCGCUAUCAUGAUUUGUGCUAUUUAUGCUAAAAGGGCUAGUUGAAUCAUGGAAACUAUGAAAUAGGUAAAGUCUACCUUAAAGGCAGAUGCUGGCAGCAGCAGUGAUGUAGAUUUGGAAAAUCACUAAAAAUAGUAGGAUUGGAAUUAAAUAGCGAAUAAAUUAUGUAAACGAACCCUGAUGAAUCUAUUUUCAUAGGAAAGUAACGAAAUGAUCAUAUGGACAGUAUGUUAAGAGAUAUUCAGGUUCUCGUGAGAAAGCGCCAGAACGGUUUCUGGAUUCCCUGUUACGACUUUGGAAAUUCAUUAUAAAUUAACCAGAGAUAAUUAGGAGUCAUUCCACAUAUGUAUGGAUUCUUCUCUGAGUCUAGUUUCUAUAUAAACAAACGGCAUCAGUAUUGAAACCCUGUGUAGGGAGAUAUCCAAGUCGUAAUGCGCAAAGGUCAGUGUAGUCGAUCCCUGUAACAUGGGAGACUUUGACUAAUAAACUGUACUAAUUGGCCUGACCAAAAAUUCUAAAAAAAAAUAUGUAGAUGGGCAUAUGAGUCUAGUUUGAGGGAAAAAUUACGAAAUUGAUUUUCAAGUUGUGAAACUCAAGAUAUGAUUUUUAAAGCGACUAGUAUGCAGAUUGGCAGUGUCUGGGAAUUUUUUUUUAUAAGUGGUUAAAGUCUGCUAACACCUCGUGUUCGACUCCGGUGACGGUCUCGGGUUCGGGGUGUUACAUUUGAUUGGUAUCAGAGCUACGGUUUAGUCGAUUCUAGGACUAACGUAGCACGCGUGAGUCUAUUUAUACAUGCCAUAAAGUGAUAAAAUGAUAGUGUGAUGAUUUUUUAGCUAUUAAAAUGUGUUUGCUGUAUUGUAAUGAAUCUUGAUCCCGAUCGAGCUGUAGCAAGCUUCUGACUAUGAGAAUUUGCGAUAUAACUUCAUUUAGAUAUGCCUAAAUUAUUAAGUUGAUCAGGUACGUAUCAUGUACUCGUAUUUGAAUUUCGAUUUGGAUUGAAUUAUAAGGGUAUAAGUGAUGCAAUUUUGAAGGAGUGUUAUGACUAUAAAUGUGAUUUUUGUAUGUGGCUAUGGAACUGGAAGUUGAAUGGUCGAUAAGCAUGUUGUGUUUGUAUUCAUGUAAUGUAAAUGAUAUACUAAUGUGUAUUGCUAUAUGUGUAUAUGUAUGUAGAGACGAAAUUGUCGAAUGUAAAAAGGCAGUGAAGUGUAUAGAGUGGUUGGUUUUCAGCACUAAGUGUGCGGGAAAUAAGUGUUCACGGUUGUGAGAUUGGCACUAAGUGUGCGGGCAAUAAGUGUUCACGGUUGUGAGAUUGGCACUAAGUGUUCACGGUUGUGAGAUUGGCACUAAGUGUGCGGGCAAUAAGUGUUCACGGUUGUGAGAUUGGCACUAAGUGUGCGGGCUUGAAAUGCAUGGCACUAAGUGUGCGAGUUUAAAGUACAUGGCACUAAGUGUGCGUGGUUGAUUAUUAAGCACUAUGUGUGCGAACCCACUAUAUAUAUACAUAUUUUCUAUCAAUUAUUUAUAUUACGGGUGCGACCUUACCGAGUCGAUUUCGGACAGCGAAAAGGGGUAAGUUCUUGAGUAAUAGAGCUUAAAUUAUGAUUUGAUUAGAUCAUGUUUUAAGCAAAUCAAAAUCAUGCUCUUUGUGUAUGGCUAUUGAGCCGAAAUUGCAAGAAUGAUAAGUGUCUUGUGUUUGAGUUUUGCUAACGAAAAUGAAAUACGAAUGUGCCAUGAUUUGUUGUUAAAUGUGCAUGGUUAUUUGAAUGAUGUCCGGGCUAAGUCCCGAAGGCUUUGUGCUAAGUGACCAUAUCCGGACUAAGACGCGAAGGCAUUGGUGCGAGUUACUAAAUCCGGGCUAAGUCCCGAAGAGCAUUCAUGCUAGUGAUGUAUUCGGGCUAAGUCCCGAAGAGCAUUCAUGCUAGUGAUGUAUCCGGGCUAAGUCCCGAAGAGCAUUCAUGCUAGUGAUGUAUCCGGGCUAAGUUCCGAAGAGCAUUCGUGCUAGUGAUAUAUCCGUGCUAAACCCCGAAGAGCAUUCGUGCUGGUGUUAUGUCCGGGCUAGGUCCCGAAGAGCAAUCAUGCUGGUGACGUGUAUUCGGGCCUUCGUGCCUAGUAGGCUUCGUGCCGGUAAUUUGAGCAAAGUUUAAGUAUUCAUUACUAUACGAAUUCAAAUUUAAAUGAGAUGAUAUGUUUAAAAGUGUUCAUACAUGAUGUUUAUAGACUUGGUUAAGUCAUUUCAAUGUGUAAUAACGAAUGAAUAAGAGCACUAUGUGUGUGAAUGAUUAGAGGCACUGUGUGUGUGCGAAUUCCUUUAACCGAGCACUAUGAGUGCGAGAUCGGUCAGUGGGCACUAAGUGUGUGAAGUGGAAUUCAUGUAAGACCUCGUUUGGGACGAAGGCAUUGAUUUGAGAUAGUGUGUAAGACCAUGUCUGGGACAUGGCAUCGGCUCGAUAUGUGAGAAUAUGUAAGACCAUAUCUAGGAUAUGGCAUUGUAAGAGCUAUAUGUACUAUUGCUGAAUGGACACUAUUUUGUUAAUCUUGUUUAAGAAAUUAUUUUGAUUAAGUUUCGACAUUCGAAAGUUUGAAAGAAUUUUUGAUGAAUGUUGAUAAUUUUUGAUAUACGAGUUAUGUGCUAGAAUAAAUCUCAUGCCAGUGUAUUAUAUUAGGCUUUAUGCCUAUUCGACUGUAUACGGGUAACGUUAACUAUGAUUGAAUGUGCUAAAUGAACUAAAUGUUCAGGUACGUGGAAGUUGACUUUUCUUUUGGAAAUGAGUUAAGUUGAAUAUUGAGAUGUGAUAGAGUUAUAAAGGAUAUUUAUUGGGAUGUUUGAGUAUAUGUGUACUUUCGGUUAGGUUACAGCUUAUUCAUGAAUGAAAAUGUGGGUUACAAAUAUGUGGGUUGAUAAUGUGAAUUAUACAUGUUAAUAUGUGUUUGAAAUGCAUUUGUGAAUUAAGUUAAGUGAUUAUUGCUUAUGAAAUCAAGAAAAUGAGAUAUUUGUGCAUACUUGUAGAAAUGUUUAUGUAUUUGUUUUAAGAUAAGAAAAUGAUUUUAUAGACCGAUGCGAAAUCAAUAAUGAAUUAUAAUUGCUAUCAAUGAGCUAAUGUCUUUGUGGAUAUAAUUCAAUAAGAGGACGUUAUCCUAAACUAUGCAUUGGUAGAAAUUUUCGGGGACGAAAAUUUCUUAAGGGGGGGAGAGUUGUGACACCCCUAAAGUGACCCUAGUCGGAAAGUGGUUUCGGGACCACUAAACCGAGUCAUAAAGAUAAUUAACCGUCAUAGUUGAUGCUCAUUAUAUGUACAUAUGCAUGUGUGAAAAUUUCAUGUUUGAAUUUUAUUAAUGGUAAGUGAAUUUUAUCAAAUAGGACUUAUGUGAGAAAAUUUGAAAAUGUGCUAGGCAAAUGUAAAGUGGCCUAAUAAUGCAUGUUGUGAAAUGAUGGGUUUGCAUGUCAAAUUCCCCACUUUAGAGGAAGUGGCCGGCCAUGAGGGUAUGGGAUACAAAGCAUAUGCAUUUUGUAUUAAUAUUAUAAUGACUACAUGGUUUUAUAAUAGGAAAUAAGUAUUAAAAAAAACAUAUUAAAGACAUUUUAUGCUAAUAUGUGUGGGAAGAAUAAUAAAAUAUGAGGGGAGUGGGAGGAGAAACCAAAGUUGUCUCCCCUUACUCCCCAUUGCCGUGACUAGAGAAAGGGGAGGAAAAACAAAAUUCUUCCUUUUUUGUUCAACAUGGCCGAAUGGAAGGAAGAAGAAGAGGGGAAGUUCGGCCAAGGUGGUUCUUGAGAUUAAGGUAUGUUCAAUGUUGCUUUUGGAGGUUUACACAUCCUUUGGAGGGUUAGCCUACUUCUAUUUAUCUCAUGGAUGAAAUUAGAGUUGUUGGAGAGUUAGGAUUCGGCUAAGAGGCUUCAAAAUUUUAGUUGAUGCCUUGAUACUACUAGCAUGUUAGCUAUAUGGAUGUGUUAAAUUACUUGAAAUGCUAGAUAAAUUUGAACUCCCUACCAAAUUCUUUAGGCAACCCAUGUUAGAAAUUUCGGUAUUGAGAUGUCUAGAUCUUUCGGCCAUUGUAGCUAUGGAGGAAUAAAGUUUUUGUUUCUUGUUAAAUUGGAUGAAUCUUGUUGUAUGAGUGCUUAAACAAACUAUGAUUAAAUGGAUGCAUAAAUUCAAAGUGGGAAGAAAUGGGCUAUUAUAUUUGAUGCUAAUGCCGAAUAUGAAGAUGAUGAACUUGAAUAAAUAAUAUUCAGCUAGCAUGAUAAGUUAUGAAAUAUUAAGUAGAUGAUAUAAUUGAUUGAUGAAGUGGCUAAUAAGGAUUUCUAAUGAAAUUGUUGCCAAGGCCGAAUGUAUCAUGAAGUAAAUUUGUUUGAUUUAGCUCAAGAGCCUAGAGGAUCAAAGUUGGAUAAGGGAAAGGAAAAAAGUGAUCGAAGAGCCGUCGUAAUCGUUCGGCAACUUCCGAGGUAAGUUUUAAGUGUUUAAACGUUGAGUAAAUUCAAUUAUAAUAAGACGUGAUGAGCUGAUUUAAUAAGAUAUGAUGUGGCCAUGAUAUGUUCUAAGCUCAAAUGGUAAGUUCUUAAGUGUUUGAGCUUGGGAAUUUAAAGGUAAUUUGAAAUAGUCUGCUUCGGACAGUAGCAGUAACGUGAAUUUAGAAAAUCACCAUAAAUUUAUGGACUUGAAUUAGAGGCUGAAUGAGACAUGAAAUUAAAUCUUAAUGAGUCUAGUUUUUUAUAAAAGAAACCGUGUAAGCAAAGGAAUUUCCGAUAAUGAGAUAUUUAAAGUUGUGUGAGACGGUGUCAGAAUGACU